AAGCGCUUACAACCAGACUUGCGCGCGGCGGUUCCCCCUUCCUUUUGGUUGGGCUACUCCGUCGUGUCCAGGCCAACAUCGGUUCUGGGGGUCGGUUAAAGACCCUGGGAAUGUAUCUACCCUUCGGGCGUAGACUUAUAGCCCACCGUGUAAUACCCUGGGGGGGACUGAGGUUCGCGCAUCUGCAAGGAUGCUGGCGUAAUGGU
RNAcentral lists this ribosomal RNA (206 nucleotides) under Herpotrichiellaceae sp. RNAcentral's name for it is "partial large subunit ribosomal RNA". The record is from RNAcentral. Lineage: Eukaryota; Fungi; Ascomycota; Eurotiomycetes; Chaetothyriales; Herpotrichiellaceae.